GUGAGCCAGUACAGGAUGGACCCGCGUCUGAUUAGCUAGUUGGUAAGGUAACGGCUUACCAAGGCGACGAUCAGUAGCCGACCUGAGAGGGUGAUCGGCCACAUUGGAACUGAGACACGGUCCAAACUCCUACGGGAGGCCGCAGUGGGGAAUAUUGCACAAUGGGCGAAAGCCUGAUGCAGCAACGCCGCGUGAGUGAUGAAGGCCUUCGGGUCGUAAAACUCUGUCCUCAAGGAAGAUAAUGACGGUACUUGAGGAGGAAGCCCCGGCUAACUACGGGCCAGCAGCCGCGGUAAUACGUAGGGGGCUAGCGUUAUCCGGAUUUACUGGGCGUAAAGGGUGCGUAGGCGGUCUUUCAAGUCAGGAGUGAAAGGCUACGGCUCAACCGUAGUAAGCUCUUGAAACU
RNAcentral lists this ribosomal RNA (406 nucleotides) under Clostridioides difficile. Its description in RNAcentral is "bacterial SSU rRNA". It matches the Rfam family "Bacterial small subunit ribosomal RNA", at positions 210 to 634 of the family's 1533-position model. Lineage: Bacteria; Bacillati; Bacillota; Clostridia; Peptostreptococcales; Peptostreptococcaceae. The record is from RNAcentral.